AUUGAACGCUGGCGGCAUGCUUUACACAUGCAAGUCGAACGGCAGCGCGGGCUUCGGCCUGUCGGCGAGUGGCGAACGGGUGAGUAAUGCAUCGGAACGUGCCCAGUAGUGGGGGAUAGCCCUGCGAAAGCCGGAUUAAUACCGCAUACGACCUGAGGGUGGAAGCGGGGGAGCGAAAGGCCUCGCGCUAUGGUUGCGGCCGAUGUCGGGUUGGCUAGUUGGUGGGGUAAAGGCUUACCAAGGCGACGGUCCGUAGCUGGUCUGAGAGGACGACCAGCAACACUGGGACUGAGACACAGCCCAGACUCCUACGGGAGGCAGCAGUGGGGAAUUUUGGACAAUGGGGGCAACCCUGAUCCAGCCAUGCCGCGUGCGGGAAGAAGGCCUUCGGGUUGUAAACCGCUUCUGUUCGGGAAGACAUCCUAUGGGCUAAUACCCCGGGGGGAUGACGGUACCGGAAGAAUAAGCACCGGCUAACUACGUG
Molecule: ribosomal RNA, 484 nt
Filed under: uncultured bacterium
Lineage: Bacteria
Description: partial 16S ribosomal RNA
Rfam family: Bacterial small subunit ribosomal RNA
Source: RNAcentral